CAGUAAAGGAUUUAUGAACAGAGAACUGUCCUGUCCAGAAGUAUAACCAAGUGGGAGUUUGGGGAACGAGAAGCCUGAGUGCCAUCUGUCUGCCAGCUCUCUUCAGCCCACAAUUCUUUAUCAGGGUUUUCCAUUGUGUUUCUGGCUUCAUCUGUUGAAACAGAGAAUCUGAGAGGACAAGAACUCACCUAAGGGCAGACACAUCUGAAGAAGUGGACUGAAUCUAAAACAGGAUCAGAGCUCUGCCAGCACUUAAGCUGACAUCAAGAAGGGCUGACUGAGAAG
Mus musculus (house mouse) is the source of this 285-nucleotide long non-coding RNA. RefSeq annotates it as predicted gene, 31658. Lineage: Eukaryota; Metazoa; Chordata; Mammalia; Rodentia; Muridae. The record is from RefSeq and is a predicted model, not a curated record. The transcript has 3 exons.